Molecule: ribosomal RNA, 454 nt
Filed under: uncultured bacterium
Lineage: Bacteria
Description: partial 16S ribosomal RNA
Rfam family: Bacterial small subunit ribosomal RNA
Source: RNAcentral
GAUGAACGCUGACAGAAUGCUUAACACAUGCAAGUCUACUUGAACUUCGGUUUGGGUGGCGGACGGGUGAGUAACGCGUAAAGAACUUGCCUCACAGUUAGGGACAACAUUUGGAAACGAAUGCUAAUACCUGAUAUUAUGAUUUUAGGGCAUCCUAAAAUUAUGAAAGCUAUAUGCGCUGUGAGAGAGCUUUGCGUCCCAUUAGCUAGUUGGAGAGGUAACGGCUCACCAAGGCGAUGAUGGGUAGCCGGCCUGAGAGGGUGAACGGCCACAAGGGGACUGAGAGACGGCCCGUACUCCUACGGGAGGCAGCAGUGGGGAAUAUUGGACAAUGGACCAAAAGUCUGAUCCAGCAGUUCUGUGUGCACGAUGACGUUUUUCGGAAUGUAAAGUGCUUUCAGUUGGGAAGAAAAAAAUGACGGUACCAACAGAAGAAGUGACGGCUAAAUACGUG